UCUCUCUCUCUCUCUCUCUCUCUCUCUCUCUCUCUCUCUCUCUCUCUCUCUCUCUCUCUCUCUCUGUGCUUUGCGUCUGUGUCUACGAUGCCCUAGCCCCCGAAAUCACUCUCAUCUGCUCUAUAUCUCAGUAUGCUAUCUGUGAUGCCGAAUGGUGGAAGUGCUUUAGGAUCCAAGAGAUUAGAAUGUAUUUCCGUUUGGGGCAGUUGGUAGUGGCAUCAUUGCUCAGCCGGAAUAUCAAAUCUCGGCUAUUACUACGAGAACCUGAGAAAGCAAUCACCUUGUUCAUAUGAUUUUAUACCUUACAAAGAUCUCUCUCAAUCAGAUCCCUCGGAAGUUGCUACUUGUUGGAUUUAUUUUGUAAUUCAUACCUUGUAGUUUUGUAUUUUGUAUUAUAAUGUAAUGUGUAAAUAAUAAAAUAAUGUAAUAUGUAGUGGAUUGGAUGCAUUUUAUUUUUUCAUUUUUAU
Long non-coding RNA from Carya illinoinensis, 467 nucleotides. RefSeq lists it as uncharacterized. The transcript is spliced from 3 exons. Lineage: Eukaryota; Viridiplantae; Streptophyta; Magnoliopsida; Fagales; Juglandaceae. The record is from RefSeq and is a predicted model, not a curated record.